Molecule: ribosomal RNA, 418 nt
Filed under: uncultured Cyanomargarita sp.
Lineage: Bacteria; Bacillati; Cyanobacteriota; Cyanophyceae; Nostocales; Cyanomargaritaceae
Description: bacterial SSU rRNA
Rfam family: Bacterial small subunit ribosomal RNA
Source: RNAcentral
GGGGAAUUUUCCGCAAUGGGCGAAAGCCUGACGGAGCAAUACCGCGUGAGGGAGGAAGGCUCUUGGGUUGUAAACCUCUUUUCUUAGGGAAGAACAAAAUGACGGUACCUAAGGAAUAAGCAUCGGCUAACUCCGUGCCAGCAGCCGCGGUAAUACGGAGGAUGCAAGCGUUAUCCGGAAUGAUUGGGCGUAAAGCGUCCGCAGGUGGUUUUGUAAGUCUAUUGUUAAAGCGUCUGGCUCAACCAGAUAUCGGCGGUAGAAACUACAAGACUAGAGUCCGUUCGGGGCAGAGGGAAUUCCUGGUGUAGCGGUGAAAUGCGUAGAGAUCAGGAAGAACACCGGUGGCGAAAGCGCUCUGCUAGGCCGGAACUGACACUGAGGGACGAAAGCUAGGGGAGCGAAUGGGAUUAGAUACCCC